Molecule: ribosomal RNA, 330 nt
Filed under: uncultured eukaryote
Lineage: Eukaryota
Description: partial 18S ribosomal RNA
Rfam family: Eukaryotic small subunit ribosomal RNA
Source: RNAcentral
CCCUUAGAUGUUCUGGGCUGCACACGUGCUACACUGGCAGGUUCAGCGAGCUUCAUGCCCUGAUCUGAAAGGAAUGGGAAAUCUUUUCAAAACCUGCCGUGCUUGGGAUAGAUGUUUGCAAUUAUUCAUCUUCAACGAGGAUUGCCUUGUAAGCGCACGUCAUCAGCGUGCAUUGAAUACGACCCUGUAUUCUGUACACACCGCCCGUCGCUCCUACCGAUUGAAUGAUCCGAUGAAUAUCAUGGAUUGAGGAUGCAAGUAGGUUAGCCUAUCUUCAUCUUCGAGAAGUGAAGUAAAUCUUAUCAUUUAGAGGAAGGAGAAGUCGUAACA